CAGGGAGCUGAACCAGCAUCCCGGACCAGCGGCGACCGUCGUACACCAUGGGCCUCCACCUCCGCCCCUACCGUGUGGGGCUGCUCCCGGAUGGCCUCCUGUUCCUCUUGCUGCUGCUAAUGCUGCUCGCGGACCCAGCGCUCCCGGCCGGACGUCACCCCCCAGUGGUGCUGGUCCCUGGUGAUUUGGGUAACCAACUGGAAGCCAAGCUGGACAAGCCAACAGUGGUGCACUACCUCUGCUCCAAGAAGACUGAAAGCUACUUCACAAUUUGGCUGAACCUGGAACUGCUGCUGCCUGUCAUCAUUGACUGCUGGAUUGACAAUAUCAGGCUGGUUUACAACAAAACAUCCAGGGCCACCCAGUUUCCCGAUGGUGUGGAUGUACGUGUCCCUGGCUUUGGGAAGACCUUCUCACUGGAGUUCCUGGACCCCAGCAAAAGCAGCGUGGGUUCCUAUUUCCACACCAUGGUGGAGAGCCUUGUGGGCUGGGGCUACACACGGGGUGAGGAUGUCCGAGGGGCUCCCUAUGACUGGCGCCGAGCCCCAAGUAAGCAGGCACUCUCAUUCCCU
This 572-nucleotide small RNA is filed under the name Pongo abelii (Sumatran orangutan). RNAcentral describes it as "retained intron". The record is from RNAcentral. Lineage: Eukaryota; Metazoa; Chordata; Mammalia; Primates; Hominidae.